GACGAACGCUGGCGGCGUGCUUAACACAUGCAAGUCGAACGGAAAGGCCCCCUUGUGGGGUACUCGAGUGGCGAACGGGUGAGUAACACGUGAGUAACCUACCCUUGACUUUGGGAUAACUUCGGGAAACUGGGGCUAAUACCGGAUAGGAGCUCCUGCUGCAUGGGGGGGGUUGGAAAGUUUCGGCGGUUGGGGAUGGACUCGCGGCUUAUCAGCUUGUUGGUGGGGUAGUGGCUCACCAAGGCUUUGACGGGUAGCCGGCCUGAGAGGGUGACAGGCCACAUUGGGACUGAGAGACGGCCCAGACUCCUACGGGAGGCAGCAGUGGGGAAUAUUGCACAAUGGGCGGAAGCCUGAUGCAGCAACGCCGCGUGCGGGAUGACGGCCUUCGGGUUGUAAACCGCUUUCGCCUGUGACGAAGCGUGAGUGACGGUAAUGGGUAAAGAAGCACCGGCUAACUACGUG
This 465-nucleotide ribosomal RNA is filed under the name uncultured bacterium. RNAcentral's name for it is "partial 16S ribosomal RNA". It matches the Rfam family "Bacterial small subunit ribosomal RNA", at positions 28 to 507 of the family's 1533-position model. The record is from RNAcentral.